Molecule: ribosomal RNA, 489 nt
Filed under: uncultured bacterium
Lineage: Bacteria
Description: bacterial SSU rRNA
Rfam family: Bacterial small subunit ribosomal RNA
Source: RNAcentral
GACGAACGGCUGGCGGCGUGGAUUAGGCAUGCAAGUCGAACGGUAGGAUACCUUCGGGUAUCUGAGAGUGGCGAACGGGUGAGUAACACGUAGGUGAUCUACCCUCAAGAUUGGGACAACCCAGGGAAACUUGGGCUAAUACCGGAUGAAAGCAGCAGUGAUGUUGUUUGAAAGGUGGCGUAAGCUGCCGUUUGGGGAUGAGCCUGCGCUCUAUUAGUUAGUUGGCGGGGUAAAGGCCCACCAAGGCGAUGAUAGAUAGGCGGCCUUAACGGGUGGUCGCCCACACUGGGAUUGAGAUACGGCCCAGACUCCUACGGGAGGCAGCAGUCGAGAAUAGUCUACAAUGGCCGAAAGGCUGAUAGUGCGACGCCGCGUGAACGAAGAAGUCCUUCGGGGUGUAAAGUUCUUUUAUAUGUGAGCAGUGCUUUCUAUGUGAACAGCAUGGGGAGAGAGAUAUUAGCAUAUGAAUAAGCAACGGCUAACUCCGUG